AGCCAGUGAUGAGCUACUUUAUUUCUGACACCUCGUCUGAAAACUGUACCUGCAGUAUUUGAUUAUGCUUUUUUUUGGCUGAGGCUC
Molecule: small nucleolar RNA, 87 nt
Organism: Mauremys reevesii (Reeves's turtle)
Lineage: Eukaryota; Metazoa; Chordata; Testudines; Geoemydidae
Product: small nucleolar RNA SNORD60
Exons: 1
Source: RefSeq, a predicted model, not a curated record